CGUAGUUAGCCGACACUUAUUCCUGGCCUACUGUCCUUCCUCUUCGACCAGAAAAGCCUUUUACGACCCGAAGGCCUUCUUCAGGCACGCGGCGUUGCUGCGUCAGGCUUUCGCCCAUUGCGCAAUAUUCCUU
This 133-nucleotide ribosomal RNA is filed under the name uncultured bacterium. Its description in RNAcentral is "partial 16S ribosomal RNA". The record is from RNAcentral.